UAAACUAUUGUUGACUUUCUUAUGUAUUAAACCUAUGCCAUUCAACUGGAUAUCGCUUACAAUAGGAGAUAUUCCAAAAUAUGCAUUAUUAUGAAUUAAAGAUUUUAUCCUACUAGGUAUAGCUUCUAUAACAGUCACAUUCCUUGCUUGAAACUUCAAAGUUGUCUUUCCAUAAAUUCUCUCCGCGUAAAUAGAUUCCCACUAAUACUAACUAAUUGGCUGACAAGGACAAUGUUUUUCGAGAACUAGUUAUGCGACCCAGGAAAUACACUUGUUGUAAUAAGAAGUGAGUGAAAGGUCAAGUAAUUUAAAAGGACAGCUUGCAAGUUUCUGGCAAGUCAUCCAGGUCCUGAGGCAACAAAGCAUCCACAAACUGUCACACUACCACCACCAUGCUUGAUCGUUGGUAUGAGGUUCUUGCUGUGGAAUGUCACCGGUCUUCUAGCCAUCGUCGAUCCACUUUUCAUUUUCCAUUUGUUUUGUCUUGUUUUCUCUUUACCUGGUUCUCAUUUCCCUCAUUAAGUGUUGUGUAUUUAACCCUCUGUUCCACCCAUGUCUUUGUGUGGAGUUGUUUGUUGUAAGUGCUUGUGCACAUGUUUACUGGUGUGCGUCGAGUUUUGUACCCAUGUUGGUUAUUUCUUUAUGCCGUUGGUUUUGAAAUUAAACUGCUCCGGCUAUUACCUAGUUCUGCUCUCCUGCGUCUGACUUCACUGCCACC
RNAcentral lists this long non-coding RNA (718 nucleotides) under Salmo salar (Atlantic salmon). RNAcentral describes it as "lncRNA (ENSSSAG00000089290.1)". The record is from RNAcentral. Lineage: Eukaryota; Metazoa; Chordata; Actinopteri; Salmoniformes; Salmonidae.